This 301-nucleotide ribosomal RNA is filed under the name uncultured bacterium. RNAcentral describes it as "partial 16S ribosomal RNA". It matches the Rfam family "Bacterial small subunit ribosomal RNA", at positions 509 to 807 of the family's 1533-position model. The record is from RNAcentral.
CAGUCGCCACGGUAAUACAGAGGCCUCAAGCGUUGUUCGGAUUCAUUGGGCGUAAAGGGUGCGUAGGUGGCUUGGUAAGUUGAAGGUGAAAUCUCGGGGCUUAACCCCGAAACUGCCUUCAAUACUGCUAGGCUCGAGGACUGUAGAGGAGAAUGGAAUUCACGGUGUAGCAGUGAAAUGCGUAGAUAUCGUGAGGAAGACCAGUGGCGAAGGCGAUUCUCUGGGCAGUUCCUGACACUGGGGCACGAAGGCCAGGGGAGCAAACGGGAUUAGAUACCCGCGUAGUCCCUGUCUCUUAUAC